UACGGAGGAUCCAAGCGUUAUCCGGAUUUAUUGGGUUUAAAGGGUGCGUAGGCGGCUUUGUAAGUUAGAGGUGAAAGCCUGGAGCUCAACUUCAGAAUUGCCUUUAAGACUGCAUCGCUUGAAUCCGGGAGAGGUGAGUGGAAUUCCGAGUGUAGAGGUGAAAUUCGUAGAUAUUCGCAAGAACACCAGUGGCGAAGGCGGCUCACUGGCCCGGUACUGACGCUGAGGUGCGAAAGCGUGGGGAGCAAACAGG
RNAcentral lists this ribosomal RNA (253 nucleotides) under uncultured bacterium. RNAcentral's name for it is "partial 16S ribosomal RNA". It matches the Rfam family "Bacterial small subunit ribosomal RNA", at positions 524 to 776 of the family's 1533-position model. The record is from RNAcentral.